Molecule: unclassified non-coding RNA, 338 nt
Filed under: soil metagenome
Description: partial contains 5.8S ribosomal RNA, internal transcribed spacer 2, and large subunit ribosomal RNA
Rfam family: 5.8S ribosomal RNA (bases 1-120)
Source: RNAcentral
GAUGAAGAACGUAGCGAAAUGCGAUAAGUAAUGUGAAUUGCAGAAUUCAGUGAAUCAUCGAAUCUUUGAACGCACAUUGCGCCCGCCAGCAUUCUGGCGGGCAUGCCUGUUCGAGCGUCAUUUCAACCCUCAAGCUCUGCUUGGUGUUGGGGCCCUACGGUUGACGUAGGCCCUUAAAGGUAGUGGCGGACCCUCUCGGAGCCUCCUUUGCGUAGUAACUAACGUCUCGCAUUGGGAUUCGGAGGGACUCUUGCCGUAAAACCCCCAAAUUUUCUAAUGGUUGACCUCGGAUCAGGUAGGAAUACCCGCUGAACUUAAGCAUAUCAAUAAGCGAAGGA